This 592-nucleotide long non-coding RNA is filed under the name Sorghum bicolor (sorghum). RNAcentral describes it as "long non-coding RNA (SBIC_LNC018637)". Lineage: Eukaryota; Viridiplantae; Streptophyta; Magnoliopsida; Poales; Poaceae. The record is from RNAcentral.
CAAACAGACAGAACCAAGAUUCCACAUGAGCCUCUUCACCAAGGAGUACCAUCGCGUGCGUCCAAAAUAGUUUCUUAGCCUAUGGUGCCUUAGUCAGAAACCGUUUACCUAUCUUGGACCGAAACUAACACUAUCUCCAAAGAGACCGAAGUGAGAUUCUAUAUGACACAUGUCAUCUAGGAGUUCUAUUGGGUGCUUCCAAAUAUAUUUCUAAGCGUAUGGUACGUUUGAUGCAAUUCGUGCACCUAUCUUGCAUCAAGAUUAGUACUAUCUCCAAACAAAGCAAACUGAGCUUCCACUUGAGCCCUUUUUCCGAGGAGUAUCAUCGAGUGCAUCUAAAAUGGUUCUUAGCCUAUGAUGCAUUAGGCGCAAACUGUGUACCUAUCUUGCACCAAAACUACCUCUGUCUCCAAACAAACCAAAGCGAGAUUCUAUAUGACACAUGUCAUCUAGGUGUUCUAUUGGGGUGCGUCCAAAUGGAUUUCUUAGCAUAUGGUAUGUUCCAUGCAAACUGUAACACCUCCGUGUUAAGCAUGCAUUAUGCAUAUAACUAAUUAACCUUAAACCUUCAUUUAAGCAUGGCAUAAGCAUC